GACCUUCCAUGGGAGGGGAGGUACCAUGAUCACGAAGGAGGUUUUUCCCAGGGCGAGGCUUAUGCAUUUCACUCUGGAUGUGCUAACCUCUUCGAUUUCCCCAAAUGUAGGAAACUCAACUAAUAAAUUUAAUAAAAAAUUCUGAUUUGUAGUGUUUAGAA
Molecule: small nuclear RNA, 161 nt
Gene: U1
Rfam family: U1 spliceosomal RNA
About the family: U1 is a small nuclear RNA (snRNA) component of the spliceosome (involved in pre-mRNA splicing). Its 5' end forms complementary base pairs with the 5' splice junction, thus defining the 5' donor site of an intron. There are significant differences in sequence and secondary structure between metazoan and yeast U1 snRNAs, the latter being much longer (568 nucleotides as compared to 164 nucleotides in human).
Source: Ensembl